RNAcentral lists this ribosomal RNA (1372 nucleotides) under uncultured bacterium. Its description in RNAcentral is "bacterial SSU rRNA". It matches the Rfam family "Bacterial small subunit ribosomal RNA", at positions 28 to 1381 of the family's 1533-position model. The record is from RNAcentral.
GAUGAACGCUGGCGGCGUGCCUAAUACAUGCAAGUCGAGCGAACGGACGAGAAGCUUGCUUCUCUGAUGUUAGCGGCGGACGGGUGAGUAACACGUGGAUAACCUACCUAUAAGACUGGGAUAACUUCGGGAAACCGGAGCUAAUACCGGAUAAUAUUUUGAACCGCAUGGUUCAAAAGUGAAAGACGGUCUUGCUGUCACUUAUAGAUGGAUCCGCGCUGCAUUAGCUAGUUGGUAAGGUAACGGCUUACCAAGGCAACGAUGCAUAGCCGACCUGAGAGGGUGAUCGGCCACACUGGAACUGAGACACGGUCCAGACUCCUACGGGAGGCAGCAGUAGGGAAUCUUCCGCAAUGGGCGAAAGCCUGACGGAGCAACGCCGCGUGAGUGAUGAAGGUCUUCGGAUCGUAAAACUCUGUUAUUAGGGAAGAACAUAUGUGUAAGUAACUGUGCACAUCUUGACGGUACCUAAUCAGAAAGCCACGGCUAACUACGUGCCAGCAGCCGCGGUAAUACGUAGGUGGCAAGCGUUAUCCGGAAUUAUUGGGCGUAAAGCGCGCGUAGGCGGUUUUUUAAGUCUGAUGUGAAAGCCCACGGCUCAACCGUGGAGGGUCAUUGGAAACUGGAAAACUUGAGUGCAGAAGAGGAAAGUGGAAUUCCAUGUGUAGCGGUGAAAUGCGCAGAGAUAUGGAGGAACACCAGUGGCGAAGGCGACUUUCUGGUCUGUAACUGACGCUGAUGUGCGAAAGCGUGGGGAUCAAACAGGAUUAGAUACCCUGGUAGUCCACGCCGUAAACGAUGAGUGCUAAGUGUUAGGGGGUUUCCGCCCCUUAGUGCUGCAGCUAACGCAUUAAGCACUCCGCCUGGGGAGUACGACCGCAAGGUUGAAACUCAAAGGAAUUGACGGGGACCCGCACAAGCGGUGGAGCAUGUGGUUUAAUUCGAAGCAACGCGAAGAACCUUACCAAAUCUUGACAUCCUUUGACAACUCUAGAGAUAGAGCCUUCCCCUUCGGGGGACAAAGUGACAGGUGGUGCAUGGUUGCCGUCAGCUCGUGCCGUGAGAUGUUGGGUUAAGUCCCGCAACGAGCGCAACCCUUAAGCUUAGUUGCCAUCAUUAAGUUGGGCACUCUAAGUUGACUGCCGGUGACAAACCGGAGGAAGGUGGGGAUGACGUCAAAUCAUCAUGCCCCUUAUGAUUUGGGCUACACACGUGCUACAAUGGACAAUACAAAGGACAGCGAAACCGUGAGGUCAAGCAAAUCCCAUAAAGUUGUUCUCAGUUCGGAUUGUAGUCUGCAACUCGACUACAUGAAGCUGGAAUCGCUAGUAAUCGUAGAUCAGCAUGCUACGGUGAAUACGUUCCCGGGUCU